GACAGAGGGUGCAAACGUUGUUCGGAAUUACUGGGCAUAAAGCGCACGUAGGUGGUCCACUAAGUCGAGUGUGAAAUACCCCGGCUCAACCGGGGAAUUGCGCUCGAUACUGGCGGGCUAGAGGUCGGUAGGGGUGAGCGGAACUCCAGGUGGAGCGGUGAAAUGCGUAGAUAUCCGGAGGAACACCGGUGGCGAAGGCGGCUUCCUGGACCGACACUGACGCUGAGGCGCGAAAGCUAGGGGAGCAAACGGG
This 253-nucleotide ribosomal RNA is filed under the name uncultured prokaryote. RNAcentral describes it as "partial 16S ribosomal RNA". It matches the Rfam family "Bacterial small subunit ribosomal RNA", at positions 524 to 776 of the family's 1533-position model. The record is from RNAcentral.